RNAcentral lists this transfer RNA (72 nucleotides) under Bacteroidia bacterium. RNAcentral's name for it is "tRNA-Met". It matches the Rfam family "tRNA". From Rfam's summary of the family: Transfer RNA (tRNA) molecules are approximately 80 nucleotides in length. Their secondary structure includes four short double-helical elements and three loops (D, anti-codon, and T loops). Further hydrogen bonds mediate the characteristic L-shaped molecular structure. tRNAs have two regions of fundamental functional importance: the anti-codon, which is responsible for specific mRNA codon recognition, and the 3' end, to which the tRNAs corresponding amino acid is attached (by aminoacyl-tRNA synthetases). tRNAs cope with the degeneracy of the genetic code in two manners: having more than one tRNA (with a specific anti-codon) for a particular amino acid; and 'wobble' base-pairing, i.e. permitting non-standard base-pairing at the 3rd anti-codon position. The record is from RNAcentral. Lineage: Bacteria; Pseudomonadati; Bacteroidota; Bacteroidia. RNAcentral also lists the same sequence under 1 other name.
CGCGGGGUGGAGCAGUGGUAGCUCGUGGGGCUCAUAACCCCAAGGUCGCGGGUUCGACUCCCGCCCCCGCAA